UUUUUUUUUUUUAGUAUAUAGAGAAUGUAUACACAAGCAAAAUUUGGUAGUCGAAUUUAAAUUGAAAGAAUGUGGUCUAGUCUAAGAUUCAUCAAUAUAGGAAAGAUUAAAUUUUAGAAAGAAAAGUGAAGAAAAAAUUUUUUUUUUUGCAAGAAGUUUCUUGAAGAAUAGUGCCCGAUUGUUCCUUCCCGAAUGAAGGGAAAAAAAAAUGGAAAACUCACGUCUUUUGUAAUAAGUUGGUGCUUGUACUUCAUUGAUUAUGGAUUAUCAGUAACAAUUAUUUUUAAUGGUGUAACAUUUUUUGAAUAGAGUAUAAUUCUACGUGAAUUAGUUAUAAAAUUUCACAAUAAAGAUGCAAUUAUUAUGUAUGGAUUCACAUGAAUAGUAAUAAAAUAUUAAACUUUUAUUGUAAGAAUGAGCAGCUGACUUCUUUGAAUCAGUUGAAUCCCCUAUAAAAUUCAUAGUUCAUUUAUUUAGAAUUAAAAAUGUUAAAAAAUAUAUUACAUGGUCCAGGGAUGGUUGUCCUGCGUCCGUUAACUAGAGGAGGGCAUAUUUGAAGUAUAAUUUUAUAUAAAUUAUCUGUAAAAUUUUACAAUGAAGACAUAAUUAUUACGUAUGAGAUCCACAUGAAUAGUAAUAGGACAUUAAACUUCUAUUGUAAGAAUGAACAGCUGGUUUCUGUUAAAAAUAUAUUACAUGGUUUCAGGGGUGGCUGUCCCGUGCCGGUUAACUAGAUGAGGGCAUGACUGGAACUGUCAGACAGCAAGGUUUGAUGCUUCCAUAUCAGGAAAUUCUAACUUAAGAAUUGGGGAACCUAAAAGGUUCACUGCUUUUGGCCAUUGCAAGGUUUUUGCACCGACACACACUAGGCAAAAGAAGGUCAGUAUGUGUGUACAGCAAUAUGUUAUUUGUCUUUUUUAUGAGGUGUGGUUAGGAAUGUACGUGAGCCGAGCAACUUUUUAUGAGGUGUGGUUAGGGAUGUACGCGAGCCGAGCUACUCGCGAGUAGCUCGGUCAACGGCUUGGCUCGAACUCGGUCAAAUCGAGUUCGAGCCGAGUUUCGAGUAGCUCGAUUGGCGUUCGAGUCGAGUUUCGAGUCUCAAAUUUUUGGCUCGAGGCUUGUUGAGUAGCUUGUCGAGCCGAGCUAUUUAAAUAAUAUAUUUAUAAUUUAAAUCAUAUAUAUGUAUUAUAAUUAUAAAAUGACUAUUAUGGGUAUAGGUUAUACGGAAUUUACAAUAUACUCUUCUUUAUAAUAAAAUUUUAUAAGGGUAAAAAAGUAAUAACAUAAUUAUAAAAAUACCUAAAAAGAAAAAAUGUCUAAAAAAUGCCUCAGUUUUUUGGUCGAGUCGAGUCAAAAAACUUGAUUAGACUCGGCUUGAUAAGGCUUGACUAAGGGUCGAGCCUUAUCGAGUCGAGUUUCGAGCUUAGAGCGAGUACAUCGAGUCAAGUUUCGAGUAUCAAUUUUUUUGACUCGAUCGAGCUCGAGCCUAGGGAUAUAUGAGUCGAGUCGAGCUCGAGUAUAGCACUACUCGAAUCGAGUCUAAUGAUUUAAAAAAUCGAUUCAAUUUAUUUCUAUCCCUAGGUACCACACCUAGGGAUGGAAAUAAAUUGAAUCGAUUUUUUAAAUCAUUAGACUCGAUUCAUAUUUUUGUACUCGAAUUCGAAUCUUAUAUGAGUUCAAAAUUUAAGUUCAAGUUUGAUUCUAGAGUUCAAAAUCUUCUUUAACUUUUUACUUUUAAUAUUACGUUAUCAAUAUUACGUGUACAAUAUACAAUAGAAAUAUAACUUUGCACCAAAAUAUUAAUAAAAAUAUUAGAAAUUAUACGGGUCUCAUUGAGCCUAAACGAGGUAUAAGUUCGAAUUCGAUUCGACACCUUAAUUGAAUCUUAAUAUUUGUUCAAAGUCUAGCUCGAGUUGGUUAAAAAAUCGAACUUGAAUUGAGUUCAUUAAGGCCUCGGUUGGUUUAUCGCCCUGGUGCCAUAAAAGAAAAAAGGGAUGAAAUACAUGAAUUAUAACUCUUACUACAACAAACUGACUUUUGGGAGCGGUUUUUCAAUGCAUGUAACUCAAAGCUGCUGAUCAUAUGAGACAUCCGUGUGAAAUUCAGUACAACUCACAAAAGCUGAUGCCAAUACUAGUAUUCCACAUUCAUCCGGAUCUUCUUUUGCUGCUCAGCAAAUACUCAAAUGGAGGAUUCGAAAAUUUUCCUUCAAGUAAUAAUUCAGCAACAGCUUUAUACAUGCCUUCAGUGAGGUGAACACCAUCCCAGUUGAUGUACUGAGAAGGGUUGGAGCAGGAAGUAGCCAAGGGUGAACCACAAGUGUUAAACAGAUCAAAAUUGUACAAACCAGAUUUAGAUCCACAGCAGGCUUUGAAAAGUUCUUUGAUGCCGUAUUUCUCGGGAUUCUUUACCACUGAAGCAUAUGCAUUCCAGUAAUCUGCAUACACUAUCACAGCAUUUGGGAACUUUUUCCUGAAAUCAUUUAACUUGGCUUGAAGAAUGGUGUUGUGAGCAUAGCUUUGUUUGUUUGAACUUGCCACACAGCCUAAAGUGUCCCUAUCAUUCUCAGCAGCCAGAUACAUGGUUAGUGUUAGGCACCCUGUUGGUGGCAGCCCUUGAACAACAAGAUACUUCACUCCCUUGUUCAGAAUGGCCUGUGAAUUCAACACCAAAAAUGGUACACAUAAAGCUAAUGACAUCCAUUAUUUCUCCAUUUCAUUGUCCAUCCUACUCGCCAUAGCUAAGAAAAAGAUGCUUGCACGAGUUUCAGGAUAAGGAUCAAUUGAUGCAAAACAAAGGGUAUAACAAAAAGAUAACAAUUGAAACGUUCCUUUACAAAUCAAUAAACUACAUAUACCAUCCAUCAAAUAAUGAAAUAAUGUGUGCAUUAUUACCUCUAAGAAACGAGUCACACUACCAAUGGCUAGCUUCUGAAUUGUUGUGCCUGAGACAGAAGAUCCAAGAGUAUAUGCAUAAUCAUUUGCACCAAUUUCACCAAGCCAAAUCAAGGCAUUAUCAAAAACAGCUUUGCACUCUUUAGGUGUUGUUAUUGAAUUUUUACACCCUUUGGUUUCCAAAAAUUCGUUAAACCAAACAAGCUGAGUUUGAAGUGACUGAGGGGUACGGUUAAGUGUGAGAUUGUUCUUCACAAAGAAACUAUAGAUUAUUGCAGUAGAGCCAGCAACAGCAAAAUUAACACCAUGAGAUUUGUCUGCUGUUUUACUUAGAUAAGGUGGCAAGAAAGGCAAAGAAAGUUGUUGAGCUAAAAAGUCAAUCACCAACCUUCCAUCAGAGUAUCUGUUUGUGGGAUGGUGGAAGAAAGUUUGGCCAUAAGGAGAGCGUGACGCAUAGAGGUAUGCAUUUGGACCAGUGGUUGAGUUGGUGUUGCCAGUGU
This 3394-nucleotide long non-coding RNA is filed under the name Coffea arabica (coffee). Its description in RNAcentral is "long non-coding RNA (CARA_LNC002786)". Lineage: Eukaryota; Viridiplantae; Streptophyta; Magnoliopsida; Gentianales; Rubiaceae. The record is from RNAcentral.